Molecule: ribosomal RNA, 443 nt
Filed under: Klebsiella pneumoniae
Lineage: Bacteria; Pseudomonadati; Pseudomonadota; Gammaproteobacteria; Enterobacterales; Enterobacteriaceae
Also listed under: 1 other name
Description: partial 23S ribosomal RNA
Rfam family: Bacterial large subunit ribosomal RNA
Source: RNAcentral
AGCCGGCGAUGUCCGAAUGGGGAAACCCAGUGCAAUUCGUUGCACUAUCGUUAACUGAAUACAUAGGUUAACGAGGCGAACCGGGGGAACUGAAACAUCUAAGUACCCCGAGGAAAAGAAAUCAACCGAGAUUCCCCCAGUAGCGGCGAGCGAACGGGGAGCAGCCCAGAGUCUGAAUCAGCUUGUGUGUUAGUGGAACGGUCUGGAAAGUCCGACGGUACAGGGUGAUAGUCCCGUACACCAAAAUGCACAGGCUGUGAACUCGAAGAGUAGGGCGGGACACGUGGUAUCCUGUCUGAAUAUGGGGGGACCAUCCUCCAAGGCUAAAUACUCCUGACUGACCGAUAGUGAACCAGUACCGUGAGGGAAAGGCGAAAAGAACCCCGGCGAGGGGAGUGAAAAAGAACCUGAAACCGUGUACGUACAAGCAGUGGGAGCACCUU